RNAcentral lists this ribosomal RNA (253 nucleotides) under uncultured bacterium. RNAcentral's name for it is "partial 16S ribosomal RNA". It matches the Rfam family "Bacterial small subunit ribosomal RNA", at positions 524 to 776 of the family's 1533-position model. The record is from RNAcentral. RNAcentral also lists the same sequence under 1 other name.
UACAGAGGGUGCAAACGUUGCUCGGAAUCAUUGGGCGUAAAGCGCACGUAGGCGGCCCAGCAAGUGGGGAGUGAAAGCCCUCGGCUUAACCGAGGAAGUGCUUUCCAUACUACUGGGCUUGAAUACUGGAGAGGGUCGCGGAAUUCCCGGUGUAGAGGUGAAAUUCGUAGAUAUCGGGAGGAACACCAGUGGCGAAGGCGGCGACCUGGACAGAUAUUGACGCUGAGGUGCGAAAGCGUGGGGAGCAAACAGG